Molecule: ribosomal RNA, 248 nt
Filed under: uncultured bacterium
Lineage: Bacteria
Description: partial 16S ribosomal RNA
Rfam family: Bacterial small subunit ribosomal RNA
Source: RNAcentral
UACGGAGGAUCCGAGCGUUAUCCGGAUUUAUUGGGUUAAAGGGUGCGUAGGCGGCCUUGUAAGUCAGGGUGAAAGACGGUAGCUCAACUAUCGCAGUGCCUUCGAUACUGUAGAGCUUGAGUUCGGGAGAGGUGAGUGGAACUGCGAGUGUAGAGGUGAAUUCGUAGAUAUUCGCAAGAACACCAGUGGCGAAGGCGGCUCACUGGCCCGAUACUGACGCUGAGGUGCGAAAGCGUGGGAGCAACAGG